CAGUGCCACCCUCGGGGUGUCACCGCCUCCCAGACGGGUGUCACGGGGGCUGCGGUCAGGAAGGGGGAAGGAAACGGGUGGCAUGUGACAUCUGUGACAUGUGACACUUGUGUCCCCAAGGAGAUUCUAUUCCCCCACGUGUGAUGGGACACGUGUCCCCGAGGAGAUUGUCCUUCAUGUCUGGUGGGACACGUGUGUCCCCAGGGGAGACCCUCAUGUCCCCGUCUAGGGGGGUAGACCUUUGGAAAACAGGGACCUAAAGAGGUUUUGGGGCCACCAGAUGGAAAUGGGGACAACCUCAGGGACCUUCAGGUGGCCUUGUCCUCUUGGGGCCACCAAGUGAUGGCGUUCGGCCUCCUGCGACCUGUUUUGGGGUGAAACCACUGCGUUUUGGGGCCGUGGCAUCUCAUCAUCAUGGUCCCUUUUGUCCCUCAGCUCAUCCUCUUUGGCCUCAGCAACCAGAUGGUGGUGACCUUCAAGGAGGAGAACACGAUGGCCUUCAAGCACCUCUUUCUGAAGGACUAUGUGGACGGGGCUGAGGACUCCUAUGCCGUCUACACCCAACACGACCUCUAUGACCGCGUCUUCUACGCUGUGGAGAAGUACUUGGCCAUUCCCAAUGAGACCAUCGGCCGUUACGCCUACGUGCGGGGAGAGAACCAGUCGGCCCUCACCCUCUGCCAGCGCUUCUAUCGCAAGGGACGCAUUGACCCGGCCAACGACACCUUCGACAUUGACCCCCGGGUUGUCACCGGUGGGUUUUGGGGACCUUGGGGCUGAGGUUCCUUCUCCCAAGGCCACCACAGGGACCGGGAGUGGGUUUUUUCCUCUCUAUCUUGGGUUUGAGAAGGUCAAAGAGGUCUUUUUUGGGGCCCCUUGGCCUUCACUGUGAAGGUGAAGCUAAUGACGCCUUUGACAUAGACCCCCAGGUCAUCACCAGUGGGUUUUGGGGUCCUUGGGGAUGAGGUUCCUCACCCUGGAACCACCACAGGGUCCUGGGGUGGGUUUUUUCCUCCUUAUAUUGGGUUUGAGAAGGUCCAGGAGGUCUUUGUGUUGGAUUUCCCUGAAGGUGAAGCCAACAACACCUUCAACAUUGACCCCCAGGUCGUCAUUGGUGGGUUUUGGGGACCUCAGGGCUGAGGUUCCCAGUCCCAAGGCCACUGCAGGGUCCAGGGGUGGGUUUUUUCCUUUCUAUCUUGGGUUUGAGGAGGUCAAAGAGGUCUUUAUGGCACCUCCAACCACUUAUCCCAGGUUUGAGAAGGUCUAAGAGGUCUAUUUUGGGGCCCCUUGGCCUUCACUGUGAAGGUGAAGUCAAUGACACCUUUGACAUCGAUCCCCAGGUCAUCACCAGUGGGUUUUGGGGUCCCCUUGGGGAUGAGCUUCCUCAUCCUGGAGCCACCGCAGGCUCCUGGGGUGGGUUUUUUCCUCCUUAUCUUGGGCUUGAGAAGGUCUAAGGGGCGUUUUUGGGGCCUCCAACCCCUUCUCCUGAGCUUGAGAAGGUCCAGAGGGUCCUCGUGGGGCCUCAACCCCAUUCUCCUGGGUUUGAGAAGCUUCAAGGGGGUCUUUGUGAGGCCUCAAACCCUGUUUGAGAAGGUCCAAAUGGGUCUCUGUGGGGCCUGGGCCUCCCCUGAAGGUCCUUCUCCUCCCCAUAGAUUGUGUGGGGGUGGACCCUGAAGACCCCCAACCCCUCCCCCCGGGGCUCGACCGCAGCUACAGGAACAUCACCCUCAAAUUCCACAAGUAAAUGCCCAAAUUCCUCCCCCCACAGUAUCCCCUUUUUGGGGGGCUGGGGAGCAGCUAUGGGGCUAUGGGUAAUGAGGGGUGCUAUGGGGCUGGGGGGA
Molecule: long non-coding RNA, 1841 nt
Organism: Calidris pygmaea (Spoon-billed sandpiper)
Lineage: Eukaryota; Metazoa; Chordata; Aves; Charadriiformes; Scolopacidae
Source: Ensembl